AAGUCGUAACAAGGUUUCCGUAGGUGAACCUGCGGAAGGAUCAUUAACACGUAUCCAAACGUAAAAAACCCCCCCCGUGAACAUUCAAUCCUGCUCUUGUAACCCGCGUAGUUCGCAAUCUCUGGUAAAUCAUAGCCCGGAAAGUAGUUUGAUUCAGAGACCUCUGGCUAUGUCACCGAUUGUGCAAGGAUAGCGCUUCAACGAUUCCUGUAGACCGUACACUCGGGCAGGAGCUAUGCCAAAGGGUCCCCAUGCCCCCUUAUAACCCCACAGUUUAAUGUGAAGCUCAAUGUAAUACAUUGGGUAAAAAAACCGAACAACUGUUAACAAUGGAUAUCUUGGUUCUC
RNAcentral lists this unclassified non-coding RNA (347 nucleotides) under fungal sp. Its description in RNAcentral is "partial internal transcribed spacer region". The stretch from base 1 to 46 matches the Rfam family "Eukaryotic small subunit ribosomal RNA", at positions 1786 to 1831 of the family's 1831-position model. Lineage: Eukaryota; Fungi. The record is from RNAcentral.